GGCGGCGUAGCCUAACACAUGCAGUCGAGCGAGGAGAUCCUUCGGGAUGAUCCUAGCGGCGGACGGGUGGAGUAACGACGUGGGCAACCUGCCUCAUAGAGAGGAAUAGCCUUCCGAAAGGGAGAUUAAUACCUCAUAACAUUGCAGUUUCGCAUGGAACAGCAAUUAAAGGAGUAAUCCGCUAUGAGAUGGGCCCGCGGCGCAUUAGCUAGUUGGUGAGGUAACGGCUCACCAAGGCGACGAUGCGUAGCCGACCUGAGAGGGUGAUCGGCCACAUUGGGACUGAGACACGGCCCAGACUCCUACGGGAGGCAGCAGUGGGGAAUAUUGCACAAUGGGGGAAACCCUGAUGCCAGCAACGCCGCGUGAGUGAUGACGGCCUUCGGGUUGUAAAGCUCUGUCUUCAGGGACGAUAAUGACGGUACCUGAGGAGGAAGCCACGGCUAACUACGUGCCAGCCGCCGC
Molecule: ribosomal RNA, 465 nt
Filed under: uncultured bacterium
Lineage: Bacteria
Description: bacterial SSU rRNA
Rfam family: Bacterial small subunit ribosomal RNA
Source: RNAcentral